RNAcentral lists this long non-coding RNA (2356 nucleotides) under Castor canadensis (American beaver). RNAcentral describes it as "lncRNA (ENSCCNG00000017955.1)". The record is from RNAcentral. Lineage: Eukaryota; Metazoa; Chordata; Mammalia; Rodentia; Castoridae.
GGAAAAGUGGAAGGAAGUGACGAGGCUGAACAAUAUCACUUGCUUCAAUUCGGCUGGGAGGGAUCAGCUACCUUUCAGUUCCUAUUAAGUGAAUUCAGUUUUAGGGCCCAUGAGCAUUUUCCCAAAAGAUUCCUUUAGAUCCGGCCCCUCCCCUCUUUUAGUUAGACUGACCUCAGGUGGAAUUACAAGUGUCCCCAGUCCGCUCAGCGCUGUUAGUAGGAUUUGGCAUCCAUCCCCUAUUCGCGCGGGACCCCCCCCUCACCAGCGUAUCCCUACCUGUUGGAUAGGUCUUACUUCCUGGAAACACCUGCUGUCCUUACAAGGGGAGCAGCCGUCGCCUUAGAAUCCUAGUCUGUCCUUUCCUGGUGAAGGGGGGCGCCUGUGCUUAAGUGCUGGCUUAGCCACCAGAAGUGUCCAGCAGGAUUCAAUAGCCCUGAAGUGGGUAGCCUUAUUCCAACCCCAGUCCUGUUUAGCGGGGCUUCCACACUCUGAGAACCACCGAGAAGCUCUUGGCCAGCCCUGGAGCAACCGGUCAAUUCUAGGGGCCUCCUCGCCCGGUUCGGCGUCCUGGGCACGCGGCAGCGGGACAGGACGCCUUGUGCCCACGGACCGACGCCGGCUGCCAGUCCGACUGCGGCUGACACUCCCGCCGUGGCCGCUGCUGCAAACCGGUCUGGCUUCCCUGCAGGGCGUGCGGGGAUGGAGCGAGGGGGUGGAGAGAAAGGGGAAGAGCCUGGGCGGCCGGCGGGCGGGGCCUGCAGCCUCCCGGAGCCGCGGCAGCCGCCGAGCAGCCUGCUCUCUCCGCGCCUCUCUCCGACUCCGGUGCGCGCUGCGCGGGGACCCGCGCCCGAGCCCGGGGGGCGCCGCGGCUCCUCGGCCUCUGUCCCCGGACUCGCCUCGCCUAGGCUGCGCCCGGACGCAGAGCUGCUGGCCUUUGGGGGCCGCCCGCUGCUCUAUCUGGCCAGAGGACCGACGGGGAAGGAAGGGGAAAGCGGGGACACACACACUCGCCGGGCGCGCGCGCAUUGCACACUCGCAGCCGCGCGCCCCCGCCGAGGCGCGGCCGGGGCGAGUUUGGCCCCGCGGCUUCGGGCCCGGCACCUGCCCGCCCCCGGCACGGUCCCCGGGCCCCGCCCCGCCGACCCUCCCGCCCCUCGCCUGCGCUGCUGUCCCUUCGCCCGGGAAAGCGACAACAUCCCGACAACUUACAGGCUGUGGCGCAACUGGUCUGGACCGCCGAGGCUCCUGAAGGCUGCCCGGGUGAGGAAGAAGUCCCCGGAAAGUACUCCUGAGCUUGGAUUGGAGGACUCAUUUUGCUCCUUUGAUGAAGCCCGUCCAUCCGGAGAUGGAGAUGUUCCUCUUGUGCAGUGGUGAGGCUGGAGUGUUCUGCAGUUGUUGGGAGUGGAGAAAAAUCAAAGGAUUGGUUUCAUUGGGACUCCAGUGUUCAUGGAAGCUUUCAGAACAUUCCCAGUGAAAGGAACUCCUCCAAAAACCCUUUCCAGCUAAACCCAAGCUGGGAAGGUUGAGUCUCAGGUGUUACGUGUGAUCUCUGAGCUGACAGAAAUAGUGGGUUUUGUACAGUAGUAGAGACCUAUGAGGAUGAUGAGAACUGUGGCAAGUCUUAGCUUGAUAUGUGAUCAUGUCUUACUUGGGAAGGAAAAGAGAAAAGCACUGAAUGAUAACCACAUUAUGUUUUUUCCAAAUUAAGAUGACUAGAGGGAUUAGGUAAUAACGCCUUACAUUUUCAUCAGUGUCUUGCAAAUUUUAAAUGCUUUGCAGCAAUCGCACCGAAUUCCAGCCAUUUCUGAGGGAGGCAAGACAAAGAUGAUUAUCACAUAUUUACAGGAGGAAUGGAAGGCUCAGUUUCCGGGAUUUAUUAAGGUAAUAAGUGGUCAGUUUUAGUGUCAUAGCCAGGUUUGCUGUCAUAGCUCAGUGCCAGCUCUGUACCUGCAUAUGGUUCUGUUUUGUUUUCUUCAAUGACCAGAUAGUGCCUCCAUUUACUGUGGGCAGUACAGUCUCCUUGUGAAUUACUGUUCUCAUCUCGCAGAUGAGGAAACCGAGGAUCAGACAAAUGAGGGCGUUUUCCAUGUUAUUAUAUCUUCUUUAGUGGAGUUUAUAAAAUAGAACUCAUUUCCUGAUGUCUGUUUUCCUCACUUUGUGUUUUCUGCCAUUGUCUCAAUUCUGGUAGCAAUGGAUCCCUGCACUACACCAGGGUAUUAGAGGCAGCAUAGAUAGAGUCUGUUUGGUGAUCUGGAUUCUAGUUCUAGUACAACAUGUGUGCCAAAUCAUAUAUAUAUAUAUAUAUAUAUAUAUAUAUUUUUUUUUUUUUUUUUUUUUUUUUUUUUGGUGUGAUUGG